CAGCCGCCGCGGGAAUACGAAGGGUGCAAGCGUUACUCGGAAUUACUGGGCGUAAAGCGUGCGUAGGUGGUGGUUUAAGUCCGUUGUGAAAGCCCUGGGCUCAACCUGGGAAUUGCAGUGGAUACUGGGUCACUAGAGUGUGGUAGAGGAUAGUGGAAUUUCCGGUGUAGCAGUGAAAUGCGUAGAGAUCGGAAGGAACAUCUGUGGCGAAGGCGACUAUCUGGGCCAACACUGACACUGAGGCACGAAAGCGUGGGGAGCAAACAGGAUUAGAUACCCCUGUAGUUCCUGUCUCUUAUAC
This 301-nucleotide ribosomal RNA is filed under the name uncultured bacterium. RNAcentral's name for it is "partial 16S ribosomal RNA". It matches the Rfam family "Bacterial small subunit ribosomal RNA", at positions 509 to 807 of the family's 1533-position model. The record is from RNAcentral.